Molecule: ribosomal RNA, 458 nt
Filed under: Filarioidea sp. 'Lemurfilaria lemuris'
Lineage: Eukaryota; Metazoa; Nematoda; Chromadorea; Rhabditida
Description: SSU rRNA
Rfam family: Eukaryotic small subunit ribosomal RNA
Source: RNAcentral
CUCAAAGGCUAAGCCAUGCAUGUCUAAGUUCAAAUAAACCUAUAAUGGUGAAACCGCGAACGGCUCAUUAUAACAGCUAUAAUGUACUUGAUGUUGAUUAUCCAACGUGGAUAACUGUGGCAAUUCUAGAGCUAAUACAUGCACCAAAGCUCCGACUUUUGAACGAGCGCAUCUAUUAGAUUAAAACCAAUCGGGUUCACUCAAAUGAACUCGUUAAUUGGUGACUCUGAAUAGCUAUGGCUGAUCGCAUGGUCUUGUACCGGCGACGUAUCUAUCAAGUGUCUGCCUUAUCAACUUUCGAUGGUAGUUUAUGUGCCUACCAUGGUUGUAACGGGUAACGGAGAAUAAGGGUUCGACUCCGGAGAGGGAGCCUGAGAAACGGCUACCACAUCCAAGGAAGGCAGCAGGCGCGCAAAUUACCCACUCUCAGAAUGAGGAGGUAGUGACGAAAAAUAACG